CCCUUAGAUGUUCUGGGCAGCACGCGCGCUACACUGAUGCAUUCAACGAGCCUAUCCUUGACCGACAGGUCCGGGUAAUCUUUGAAUCUGCAUCGUGACGGGGAUAGAUUAUUGCAAUUAUUAAUCUUCAACGAGGAAUGCCUAGUAGGCGCAAGUCAUCAGCUUGCGUCGAUUACGUCCCUGCCCUUUGUACACACCGCCCGUCGCUCCUACCGAUUGGGUGUGCUGGUGAAAUGUUCGGAUCGGCCGUUUGUCGCGGUUUCCGCGGCUCGUGGCUGAGAAGUUCAUUAAACCCUCCCACCUAGAGGAAGGAGAAGUCGUAACA
Molecule: ribosomal RNA, 325 nt
Filed under: uncultured eukaryote
Lineage: Eukaryota
Description: partial 18S ribosomal RNA
Rfam family: Eukaryotic small subunit ribosomal RNA
Source: RNAcentral